RNAcentral lists this ribosomal RNA (301 nucleotides) under uncultured bacterium. RNAcentral's name for it is "partial 16S ribosomal RNA". It matches the Rfam family "Bacterial small subunit ribosomal RNA", at positions 509 to 807 of the family's 1533-position model. The record is from RNAcentral.
CAGUCGCCGCGGUAAUACAGAGGGUGCGAGCGUUAAUCGGAUUUACUGGGCGUAAAGCGUGCGUAGGCGGCUUUUUAAGUCGGAUGUGAAAUCCCUAAGCUUAACUUAGGAAUUGCAUUCGAUACUGGGAAGCUAGAGUAUGGGAGAGGAUGGUAGAAUUCCAGGUGUAGCGGUGAAAUGCGUAGAGAUCUGGAGGAAUACCGAUGGCGAAGGCAGCCAUCUGGCCUAAUACUGACGCUGAGGUACGAAAGCAUGGGGAGCAAACAGGAUUAGAUACCCCAGUAGUCCCUGUCUCUUAUAC